UACGUAGGGUGCAAGCGUUAAUCGGAAUUACUGGGCGUAAAGCGUGCGCAGGCGGUUAUGUAAGACAGAUGUGAAAUCCCCGGGCUCAACCUGGGAACUGCAUUUGUGACUGCAUAGCUAGAGUACGGUAGAGGGGGAUGGAAUUCCGCGUGUAGCAGUGAAAUGCGUAGAUAUGCGGAGGAACACCGAUGGCGAAGGCAAUCCCCUGGACCUGUACUGACGCUCAUGCACGAAAGCGUGGUGAGCAAACAGG
Molecule: ribosomal RNA, 253 nt
Filed under: uncultured bacterium
Lineage: Bacteria
Description: partial 16S ribosomal RNA
Rfam family: Bacterial small subunit ribosomal RNA
Source: RNAcentral